UUAACUAUUAUAUAGUACUCAGACGACACUAAUAUUCAGGGUUUUGGGUCCUCUGGCAGGCACGCACAGGCCGGAGCCCGUGGUGUUUCCACGGCCUACCAAAGCAACUAAGGUAUAAGUAUUCAAGGGUGGGAGAUCUACCCGUGAGGGCAUGAACUCUGUAAUGAUCCUUCCGCAGGUUCACCUACGGAAA
Molecule: unclassified non-coding RNA, 193 nt
Filed under: uncultured fungus
Lineage: Eukaryota; Fungi
Description: sequence contains ITS1, 5.8S rRNA gene
Source: RNAcentral